Molecule: ribosomal RNA, 1485 nt
Filed under: uncultured Bordetella sp.
Lineage: Bacteria; Pseudomonadati; Pseudomonadota; Betaproteobacteria; Burkholderiales; Alcaligenaceae
Description: partial 16S-23S ribosomal RNA intergenic spacer
Rfam family: Bacterial small subunit ribosomal RNA
Source: RNAcentral
AGUUCGAUUAUGGCUCAGAUUGAACGCUGGCGGGAUGUGGCUUUACAUGCAAGUCGAACGGCGGCGCGGACUUCGGUCUGGUGGCGAGUGGCGAACGGGUGAGUAAUGUAUCGGAACGUGCCUAGUAGCGGGGGAUAACUACGCGGCGUAGCUAUUACCGCAUACGCCCUUCGGGGGAAAGCGGGGGACCUUCGGGCCUCGCCACUAUUGAAGCAGCCGAUAUCGGAUUGGCUAGUUGGUGGGGUAACGGCUCACCAGGGCGACGAUCCGUAGCUGGUUUGAGAGGACGACCAGCCACACUGGGACUGAGACACGGCCCAGACUCCUACGGGAGGCAGCAGUGGGGAAUUUUGGACAGUGAAACCUGAUCCAACCAUCCCGCGUGUGCGAUGAAGGCCUUCGGGUUGUAAAGCACUUUUGGCAGGAAAGAAACGGCACGGAAGUAAUACCCCGAUGCAACUGACAGUACCUGCAGAAUAAGCACCGGCUAACUUUACGUGCCAGCAGCCGCGGUAAUACGUAAGUGCAAGCGUUAAUCGGAAUUACUGGGCGUAAAGCGUGCGCAGGCGGUUCCGGAAAGAAAAGUGUGAAAUCCCAGAGCUUAACUUUGGAACUGCAUUUUUAACUACCGAGCUAGAGUGUGUCAGAGGGAGGUGGAAUUCCGCGUGUAGCAGUGAAAUGCGUAGAUAUGCGGAGGAACACCGAUAGCGAAGGCACAGCCUCUGGGAUAACACUGACGCUCAUGCACGAAGCGUGGGGAGCAAACAGGAUUAAGAUACCCUGGUAGUCCACGCCCUAAACGAUGUCAACUAGCUGUUGGGGCCUUCGGACACGCUUGGUAGCGCAACUAACGCGUGAAGUUGACCGCCUGGGGAAGUACGGUCGCAAGAUUAAAACUCAAAGAAAUUGACAGGGACCCGCACAAGCGGUGGAUGAUGUGGAUUAAUUCGAUGCAACGCGAAAAACCUUACCUACCCUUGACAUGUCUGGAAUCGAAGAGAUUUGGGAGUGCUCAUAAGAGAACCGGAACACAGGUGCUGCAUGGCUGUCGUCAGCUCGUGUCGUGAGAUGUUGGGUUAAGUCCCGCAACGAGCGCAACCCUUGUCAUUAGUUGCUACGAAAGGGCACUCUAAUGAGACUGCCGGUGACAAACCGGAGGAGAAGGUGGGGAUGACGUCAAGUCCUCAUGGCUUAUGGUAGGGAGCUUCACCACGUCAUACAAUGGUCGGGACAGAGGGUCGCCAACCCGCGAGGCCCAAUCGAAGCCCGAUCGUAGUCGGAUCUGAUCUGCAAACUCGACUGCGUGAAGUCGGAAUCGCUAGUAAUCGCGGAUCGGCAUGUCGCGGUGAAUACGUUCCCGGGUCUUGUACACACCACCCGUCACACCGUGGGAGUGGGUUUUACCAGAAGUAGUUAGCCUAACCGUAAGGAGGGCGAUUACCACGGUAGGAUUCAUGACUGGAAGUGAAGUCGUAACAAAGAUAA